AGUGAACGCUGGCGGUAGGCCUAACACAUGCAAGUCGAACGGUAGCACAGUAAGAGCUUGCUCUUACGGGUGGCGAGUGGCGGACGGGUGAGGAAUACAUCGGAAUCUACUUUUUCGUGGGGGAUAACGUAGGGAAACUUACGCUAAUACCGCAUACGACCUACGGGUGAAAGCAGGGGAUCUUCGGACCUUGCGCGAUUGAAUGAGCCGAUGUCGGAUUAGCUAGUUGGCGGGGUAAAGGCCCACCAAGGCGACGAUCCGUAGCUGGUCUGAGAGGAUGAUCAGCCACACUGGAACUGAGACACGGUCCAGACUCCUACGGGAGGCAGCAGUGGGGAAUAUUGGACAAUGGGCGCAAGCCUGAUCCAGCCAUACCGCGUGGGUGAAGAAGGCCUUCGGGUUGUAAAGCCCUUUUGUUGGGAAAGAAAAGCAGCAGGUUAAUACCCCGCUGUUCUGACGGUACCCAAAAAAUAAGCACCGGCUAACUUCGUG
RNAcentral lists this ribosomal RNA (492 nucleotides) under uncultured bacterium. RNAcentral describes it as "partial 16S ribosomal RNA". It matches the Rfam family "Bacterial small subunit ribosomal RNA", at positions 29 to 507 of the family's 1533-position model. The record is from RNAcentral.